AUGCUGAUGCGUCGCCGCCACCUGCUGGGCCCGGUCCUCCCCCGCCUCCUCCUCACCGCCCUCCUCCUCGCGUCGGCCGUCGCAUUCCUCCCCCGCGCGGCCGGCGACGACGCCGCCGAGGCGGGCGACGAGCGCCGCGUGGGCGAGGCGGUCGCGGCGGUGGAGCGCGCGGACGCCGCCCUGGGGGCCGCCGAGGCCGGCGGGGAGGCGGCGCAGGGCAAUGCCACGAACAAGGAGCACAGCCUCGCCGACAUGAUCGACCGCGCGCUGGAGAAGGAGUUCCCCGACUCGGAGGGCGACCAGGGCGGCGGAGAGAUGGACCCCGGCAGCUUCAACAACACGGUCGCGGAGAAGCAGGGAGUUCUGGAAACUGUGGCCAGAAGAGUAACGAAGAAGAAUGAGACCAAAGACAAUAACUCAUUCCCAUUCAAGGAGGUUUUCUUGGAUCGGUCAGAGCAAGAGGAUGUUCCCACGUUGAUUGACCGGAAGGAUAAUGUUUUUAUUAUAUCAAAUCGGAAGUCAAAGUACCCUGUACUGCAGCUGGACCUUACGUUGAUCUCAGAUCUUGUUGUCGUUAUUGUAUCUGCUACAUGUGGUGGAAUUACCUUUGCUUGCCUUGGACAACCAGUCAUUACAGGUUAUUUGCUUGCAGGUUCUAUAAUUGGCCCUGGAGGUUUUAGCUUUGUCAACGAACUGGUGCAAGUUGAGACAGUAGCUCAGUUUGGUGUGAUAUUUCUCCUUUUUGCUCUAGGACUUGAGUUCUCUACCGCAAAACUACGAGCUGUACGUGCAGUUGCCGUUCUUGGAGGAUUGCUGCAAAUUAUACUUUUUAUGUUCCUUUGUGGUAUUUCUGCCACGCUAUGUGGGGGUAAAACAAAGGAAGGUGUUUUUGUUGGCGUUCUUCUUUCUAUGUCUUCGACAGCAGUGGUUUUAAAAUUUUUGAUGGAAAAAAAUAGUAUCAAUGCACUUCAUGGCCAAGUGACGGUUGGCAUACUCGUAUUGCAGGAUUGUGCUGUUGGUCUUCUGUUUGCACUUCUUCCAAUUUUGAGCGGCGCCUCUGGUCUUCUUCAUGGAGUUGCGUCAAUGACAAAAUCGUUUGUGCUAUUAAUAUCGUUCCUGGGAAUUCUCUCUAUCCUCUCCCGUACUUGUGUGCCUUGGUUUCUUAAGCUGAUGAUAAGUCUUUCGUCUCAGACAAAUGAACUGUACCAGUUGGCAGCAGUUGCAUUCUGCCUGUUAUUUGCUUGGUGCAGUGAUAAAUUGGGUCUGAGUCUUGAGUUGGGUUCAUUUGCAGCUGGCGUUAUGAUAUCAACAACCGAUCUUGCUCAACAUACUCUUGAACAAAUUGAACCGAUUCGAAAUCUCUUUGCCGCCCUUUUCCUUGCCAGCAUUGGGAUGCUAAUUAACGUCCAUUUUCUGUGGAACCAUGUGGAUAUACUUCUUGCAGCUGUAAUUUUGGUGAUAACAAUAAAGACAUUUAUUGUCUCUAUUGUCGUAAAAGGGUUUGGCUAUAACAACAAAACAUCUCUUCUUGUCGGCAUGUCUCUUGCACAAAUUGGAGAGUUUGCUUUUGUUCUUCUUAGCCGUGCUUCAAGCAUCCAUCUGAUUGAGGGCAAGCUGUAUCUACUUCUUCUUGGAACCACAGCGCUUAGCUUGGUAACAACACCCCUGCUAUUCAAAAUGAUCCCAGCCGUGGUCCACCUUGGUGUUCUUUUGAGAUGGUUUUCCGUCGAUAGCAAUCAGGUGGAGUUGGGCCUAAAAGGCGAAGUCCUCCGCAAUGAUAGCGGCAAGCGCAUAAAUUUGAUAAUCCAAGGCCCACACGACUCAUGA
Molecule: ribosomal RNA, 1827 nt
Filed under: Triticum aestivum (bread wheat)
Lineage: Eukaryota; Viridiplantae; Streptophyta; Magnoliopsida; Poales; Poaceae
Description: partial small subunit ribosomal RNA
Source: RNAcentral